AUUGAACGCUGGCGGCAUGCUUUACACAUGCAAGUCGAACGGCAGCGCGGGCUUCGGCCUGGCGGCGAGUGGCGAACGGGUGAGUAAUGCAUCGGAACGUGCCCAGUAGUGGGGGAUAGCCCGCCGAAAGCCGGAUUAAUACCGCAUACGACCUGUGGGUGAAAGCGGGGGACCGAAAGGCCUCGCGCUAUUGGAGCGGCCGAUGUCGGAUUAGCUAGUUGGUGGGGUAAAGGCUUACCAAGGCGACGCUCCGUAGCUGGUCUGAGAGGACGACCAGCCACACUGGGACUGAGACACGGCCCAGACUCCUACGGGAGGCAGCAGUGGGGAAUUUUGGACAAUGGGGGCAAGCCUGAUCCAGCCAUGCCGCGUGCGGGAAGAAGGACUUCGGGUUGGAAAGCGCUUUUGUUCGGGAAGAAAUCCUGUGGGCUAAUACCCCGGGGGGAUGACGGUACCGGAAGAAUAAGCACCGGCUAACUACGUG
RNAcentral lists this ribosomal RNA (484 nucleotides) under uncultured bacterium. RNAcentral describes it as "partial 16S ribosomal RNA". It matches the Rfam family "Bacterial small subunit ribosomal RNA", at positions 28 to 507 of the family's 1533-position model. The record is from RNAcentral.